CGGUGGGUACGGGCAGACUAGAGUGAUGUAGGGGAGACUGGAAUUCCUGGUGUAGCGGUGAAAUGCGCAGAUAUCAGGAGGAACACCGAUGGCGAAGGCAGGUCUCUGGGCAUUAACUGACGCUGAGGAGCGAAAGCAUGGGGAGCGAACAGGAUUAGAUACCCUGGUAGUCCAUGCCGUAAACGUUGGGCACUAGGUGUGGGGGACAUUCCACGUUUUCCGCGCCGUAGCUAACGCAUUAAGUGCCCCGCCUGGGGAGUACGGCCGCAAGGCUAAAACUCAAAGGAAUUGACGGGGGCCCGCACAAGCGGCGGAGCAUGCGGAUUAAUUCGAUGCAACGCGAAGAACCUUACCAAGGCUUGACAUGAACCGGUAAUACCUGGAGACAGGUGCCCCGCUUGCGGUCGGUUUACAGGUGGUGCAUGGUUGUCGUCAGCUCGUGUCGUGAGAUGUUGGGUUAAGUCCCGCAACGAGCGCAACCCUCGUUCUAUGUUGCCAGCACGUGAUGGUGGGGACUCAUAGGAGACUGCCGGGGUCAACUCGGAGGAAGGUGGGGACGACGUCAAAUCAUCAUGCCCCUUAUGUCUUGGGCUUCACGCAUGCUACAAUGGCCGGUACAAAGGGUUGCGAUACUGUGAGGUGGAGCUAAUCCCAAAAAGCCGGUCUCAGUUCGGAUUGGGGUCUGCAACUCGACCCCAUGAAGUCGGAGUCGCUAGUAAUCGCAGAUCAGCAAC
RNAcentral lists this ribosomal RNA (734 nucleotides) under Arthrobacter sp. LB_B1B. RNAcentral describes it as "bacterial SSU rRNA". It matches the Rfam family "Bacterial small subunit ribosomal RNA", at positions 624 to 1356 of the family's 1533-position model. The record is from RNAcentral. Lineage: Bacteria; Bacillati; Actinomycetota; Actinomycetes; Micrococcales; Micrococcaceae.